CUGGGAAACCCAGUUGCAUAAUUUGUGAUAG
This 31-nucleotide small nuclear RNA is filed under the name Cervus elaphus hippelaphus. Lineage: Eukaryota; Metazoa; Chordata; Mammalia; Artiodactyla; Cervidae. The record is from RNAcentral.